CCCGACCAACCCGAUGAGAAGGAUGGAUGACCAAGUGAAAAACUGGAGAGUGGUGCUGUGUUCCAACUAUGGAAGCUGAGCGUGGACAGAGCUGCACAGAGGACCAAAGAUCCACUCUCAGCACUUCAUACCUGACUGGCCACAGCACCACCCCUCCUCACCUGGGUGAGGAGGGCCC
Long non-coding RNA from Oreochromis niloticus (Nile tilapia), 178 nucleotides. RefSeq lists it as uncharacterized. The transcript has 2 exons. NCBI's taxonomy places the organism in Eukaryota, Metazoa, Chordata, Actinopteri, Cichliformes, Cichlidae. The record is from RefSeq and is a predicted model, not a curated record.